AAAUUGAAGAGUUUGAUCAUGGCUCAGAUUGAACGCUGGCGGCAGGCCUAACACAUGCAAGUCGAGCGGUAGCACAGAGAGCUUGCUCUCGGGUGACGAGCGGCGGACGGGUGAGUAAUGUCUGGGAAACUGCCUGAUGGAGGGGGAUAACUACUGGAAACGGUAGCUAAUACCGCAUAACGUCGCAAGACCAAAGUGGGGGACCUUCGGGCCUCAUGCCAUCAGAUGUGCCCAGAUGGGAUUAGCUAGUAGGUGGGGUAACGGCUCACCUAGGCGACGAUCCCUAGCUGGUCUGAGAGGAUGACCAGCCACACUGGAACUGAGACACGGUCCAGACUCCUACGGGAGGCAGCAGUGGGGAAUAUUGCACAAUGGGCGCAAGCCUGAUGCAGCCAUGCCGCGUGUGUGAAGAAGGCCUUCGGGUUGUAAAGCACUUUCAGCGGGGAGGAAGGCGGUGAGGUUAAUAACCUCACCGAUUGACGUUACCCGCAGAAGAAGCACCGGCUAACUCCGUGCCAGCAGCCGCGGUAAUACGGAGGGUGCAAGCGUUAAUCGGAAUUACUGGGCGUAAAGCGCACGCAGGCGGUCUGUCAAGUCGGAUGUGAAAUCCCCGGGCUCAACCUGGGAACUGCAUUCGAAACUGGCAGGCUAGAGUCUUGUAGAGGGGGGUAGAAUUCCAGGUGUAGCGGUGAAAUGCGUAGAGAUCUGGAGGAAUACCGGUGGCGAAGGCGGCCCCUGGACAAAGACUGACGCUCAGGUGCGAAAGCGUGGGGAGCAAACAGGAUUAGAUACCCUGGUAGUCCACGCCGUAAACGAUGUCGAUUUGGAGGUUGUGCCCUUGAGGCGUGGCUUCCGGAGCUAACGCGUUAAAUCGACCGCCUGGGGAGUACGGCCGCAAGGUUAAAACUCAAAUGAAUUGACGGGGGCCCGCACAAGCGGUGGAGCAUGUGGUUUAAUUCGAUGCAACGCGAAGAACCUUACCUGGUCUUGACAUCCACAGAACUUUCCAGAGAUGGAUUGGUGCCUUCGGGAACUGUGAGACAGGUGCUGCAUGGCUGUCGUCAGCUCGUGUUGUGAAAUGUUGGGUUAAGUCCCGCAACGAGCGCAACCCUUAUCCUUUGUUGCCAGCGGUCCGGCCGGGAACUCAAAGGAGACUGCCAGUGAUAAACUGGAGGAAGGUGGGGAUGACGUCAAGUCAUCAUGGCCCUUACGACCAGGGCUACACACGUGCUACAAUGGCAUAUACAAAGAGAAGCGACCUCGCGAGAGCAAGCGGACCUCAUAAAGUAUGUCGUAGUCCGGAUUGGAGUCUGCAACUCGACUCCAUGAAGUCGGAAUCGCUAGUAAUCGUAGAUCAGAAUGCUACGGUGAAUACGUUCCCGGGCCUUGUACACACCGCCCGUCACACCAUGGGAGUGGGUUGCAAAAGAAGUAGGUAGCUUAACCUUCGGGAGGGCGCUUACCACUUUGUGAUUCAUGACUGGGGUGAAGUCGUAACAAGGUAACCGUAGGGGAACCUGCGGUUGGAUCACCUCCUUA
RNAcentral lists this ribosomal RNA (1539 nucleotides) under Klebsiella pneumoniae. RNAcentral's name for it is "bacterial SSU rRNA". It matches the Rfam family "Bacterial small subunit ribosomal RNA". The record is from RNAcentral. Lineage: Bacteria; Pseudomonadati; Pseudomonadota; Gammaproteobacteria; Enterobacterales; Enterobacteriaceae.